This is a long non-coding RNA of Gadus morhua (Atlantic cod), 448 nucleotides long. RefSeq lists it as uncharacterized. NCBI's taxonomy places the organism in Eukaryota, Metazoa, Chordata, Actinopteri, Gadiformes, Gadidae. The record is from RefSeq and is a predicted model, not a curated record. The transcript is spliced from 3 exons.
AGCAGUGAGCAGGUCUGUUUCAGUAGCAGUGUCCCCUCCCGUCGGCUAGGGGGCAGCAGUGAGCAGGUCUGUUUCAGUAGCAGUGUCCCCUCCCGUCGGCUAGGGGGCAGCAGUGAGCAGGUCUGUUUCAGUAGCAGUGUCCCCUCCCGUCGGCUAGGGGGCAGCAGUGAGCAGGUCUGUUUCAGUAGCAGUGUCCCCUCCCGUCGGCUAGGGGGCAGCAGUGAGCAGGUCUGCUUCAAGGGCCGUUGUGAAGGAGCCUCGAGACCCACCAUGAGGAGGUCCUGAUGUACAGACAGACUGCUCUUUGAUACAAGUCUGCGUUGCUUUUAUAUUGUUGUUACCCCGUAUGUUUUUUUCCAUGACGACCAAUAAAAAGGAAGAUUUACCCCUUGUGUUUUUUUCCAUGAUGACCAAUAAAAAAAUAGUUUUACCCCUUGUGUUUUUUUUC